Lolium perenne is the source of this 706-nucleotide non-coding RNA. The record is from RefSeq and is a predicted model, not a curated record. NCBI's taxonomy places the organism in Eukaryota, Viridiplantae, Streptophyta, Magnoliopsida, Poales, Poaceae.
GGCAGCCUGCUGCAGAGCGGGGAAGUAUGCCAUGAAUUGAGGAAGGAGGCCGGGUGUCCCCACCUCAACGGGAGGAGGAGGAGGCCAUGCGGCGGGAUUGAGGCCAUGGGAAGCAAGAAAACCAGAAAAACGCCCAAAACUAUUGAUUGGUCUUCUAGAAUCCACUACUGCAGUGAGCUGUGGAAAAGGGGACUCGAGCAAACUUUCAGAGUACAAUGUAGAUCUUGCAAUAACUCUAUUCUACUCAUUCCCCUACAACAUUGGACAGAUUUCAAAGAAAUGGAAGGUCUACUCGACAAGCUCCUUGUGCUCAAGCUGUGAAGUGGUUCAUAUUGCAACCAGGUGAUGCUUUGUAACCUGCCAAUAUCCGCUCCUAAAUUAUCACAUCAUGUUAGCUGUUUAGAAGUGCCAAUAUCCAGGCGGUUCAUUUGUUCCGAUUUCUCAUCGGCUGAAGCUUUUGUUACAAAAAUAGCCAAAGCAAUGUACUAGACCUGAAGAUUUGGAUAAUUUGUUUCUUCGGAAAUACAUUUGGUGCUUUGGAUUGUGAAUAGUGGAUUUUAAACCAUUUCUCCCAAAUUUGUACAACUUGCAAAGUAAUACCUAUUAUUUAAGAUCGAUGAGUGUCUGCAUAAAUCAUUAUAGAUUUCAGGUUAGCUUAGUGGAUCUUUUCUACCAGUGUUAAAAGAAUGCAAGGGGUUAGCUUGGU